GAUACUAACCCUAAUAUACCAGUAAUUACAAUGAAAACAGCACUGGAGCCACACCGUCAACUGUUACAUAGUAAAAUCUCUCCCUGCUGCCCUCAUUUAGUCUUAUUUCCAUGUACUUAAUGCUCAUAACCAGUGUUUAGGUCAGUGUCAGCUUGGGAACCAUACUCCCUGGGCUUCUGUAUGUUGAAUUCAGCUUGUGUCCUUUAUACUUGAAGUUUUGCAGAAUAUGAAAUGCUUGCCUACGUUUUUUUUCCUUGGGUGUCUUAAAUAUUCUGUUUUCUUCCAGCAUAAAGUGAUGCAUGAAGAGCCUGAUGCAUCUUAUUUUCUUUGCACGUCAUGCACUCUUUGUGCUUAGAUGUCCAAAGGGCUUUUUCCUCUUUCUCAAGUCAGCAGUUUUAUUAGAAUGUAUGUGUUGGUGACCCUGGGUCAGUGUUUGCAGGUAUGUGGUGUGCUUUUUCUGUGUGUAUUUUCAAAUCUACUGUUUCAAGAAAGUUUCCUUGAAUUGUGGCCUAGUGCUCUGUUUUAUUUUUUGCUUUGGUUUUCUUUUUGGGGGGACCCCUGUUAUCUGUUGAAAUCUGAUUUACCCAUCUUCAGUAUUUGCCAGUUUAUCUUGAAUCUUUUAUCUGUCUUAGAUUGCUUCCAUGUCUUGGCUGCUGUAAAUAAUGCUGCUAUGAACAUAGGGGUACACAUAUCUCUAGAGGUCUGUUUUCAAAGAGGGCAGUUAAAGGGAAGGGGUGUGCUGAGCUAUGGAUUCCCCCUGGCAGAAUCCCUGGGUCCAGGAGGGUCCUUGCUCAGCUGAGGCUUUUGAAUCCCACCCUCUGUCCUCUCAGCCCACGUCCUCUAUAGCCAAACAUGGACCUUCUCCAACACCACGGUGUCCUCUGUACCGGGAGUCUGUAUGAUGAACAGGGUGCCCCAUUCAGGUAUGCGACAUGCUUCAACCUAACACUUUAGAACCCGGGGGCCAACUGAAUGUUAGUGUCCCCAGAUUCCUGUGUUGAAGACCUGACCCCCAGUAGGGCCCUAUUUCGAGAUGGGGGUGUUUGUCUCUUUCUGUUAUGAGUGCUUGUCUUAUGUUUUGUUCUUGUGUGUUUAUUAAAGUCUGAUGGGC
Molecule: long non-coding RNA, 1111 nt
Filed under: Phocoena sinus (vaquita)
Lineage: Eukaryota; Metazoa; Chordata; Mammalia; Artiodactyla; Phocoenidae
Description: lncRNA (ENSPSNG00000022417.1)
Source: RNAcentral